Molecule: ribosomal RNA, 436 nt
Filed under: uncultured bacterium
Lineage: Bacteria
Description: bacterial SSU rRNA
Rfam family: Bacterial small subunit ribosomal RNA
Source: RNAcentral
GCUUAACGCGAAGAACCUUACCAAGGCUUAAAUGGGAAACGACGGAUCUGGAAACAGGUCUUCCUUCGGGCGUUUUUCAAGGUGCUGCAUGGUUGUCGUCAGCUCGUGCCGUGAGGUGUCAGGUUAAGUCCUAUAACGAGCGCAACCCCUGUUGUUAGUUGCCAGCGAGUCAUGUCGGGAACUCUAGCAAGACUGCCGGUGCAAACCGUGAGGAAGGUGGGGAUGACGUCAAAUCAUCACGGCCCUUACGCCUUGGGCUACACACGUGCUACAAUGGACGGUACAGAGAGCAGCCAGUGGGUGACCACGAGCGAAUCUACAAAACCGUUCUCAGUUCGGAUCGGAGUCUGCAACUCGACUCCGUGAAGCUGGGAUCGCUAGUAAUCGGAUAUCAGCCAUGAUCCGGUGAAUACGUUCCUGGGUCUUGUACACACCG